This 75-nucleotide transfer RNA is filed under the name Colletotrichum tofieldiae. RNAcentral's name for it is "tRNA-Tyr". It matches the Rfam family "tRNA". Rfam says of the family: Transfer RNA (tRNA) molecules are approximately 80 nucleotides in length. Lineage: Eukaryota; Fungi; Ascomycota; Sordariomycetes; Glomerellales; Glomerellaceae. The record is from RNAcentral. RNAcentral also lists the same sequence under 1 other name.
CUCCCCUUGGUGUAGUUGGUUUAUCACGUUCGACUGUAAAUCGAAAGGUCUCUAGUUCGAUUCUGGAAGGGGAGA